UUUUAACGGAGAGUUUGAUCCUGGCUCAGGACGAACGCUGGCGGCGUGCCUAAUACAUGCAAGUCGAGCGGACAGAAGGGAGCUUGCUCCCGGACGUUAGCGGCGGACGGGUGAGUAACACGUGGGCAACCUGCCCCUUAGACUGGGAUAACUCCGGGAAACCGGAGCUAAUACCGGAUAAUCCCUUUCUCCACCUGGAGAGAGGGUGAAAGAUGGCUUCGGCUAUCACUAGGGGAUGGGCCCGCGGCGCAUUAGCUAGUUGGUAAGGUAACGGCUUACCAAGGCAACGAUGCGUAGCCGACCUGAGAGGGUGAUCGGCCACACUGGGACUGAGACACGGCCCAGACUCCUACGGGAGGCAGCAGUAGGGAAUCUUCCGCAAUGGACGAAAGUCUGACGGAGCAACGCCGCGUGAGUGAGGAAGGCCUUCGGGUCGUAAAG
This 441-nucleotide ribosomal RNA is filed under the name Shouchella rhizosphaerae. RNAcentral describes it as "bacterial SSU rRNA". It matches the Rfam family "Bacterial small subunit ribosomal RNA", at positions 1 to 430 of the family's 1533-position model. Lineage: Bacteria; Bacillati; Bacillota; Bacilli; Caryophanales; Bacillaceae. The record is from RNAcentral.